RNAcentral lists this ribosomal RNA (530 nucleotides) under Salmonella enterica subsp. enterica serovar Anatum. RNAcentral describes it as "partial 23S ribosomal RNA". It matches the Rfam family "Bacterial large subunit ribosomal RNA", at positions 662 to 1190 of the family's 2925-position model. The record is from RNAcentral. Lineage: Bacteria; Pseudomonadati; Pseudomonadota; Gammaproteobacteria; Enterobacterales; Enterobacteriaceae.
GGAGCCGGAGGGAAACCGAGUCUUAAUUGGGCGUUAAGUUGCAGGGUAUAGACCCGAAACCCGGUGAUCUAGCCAUGGGCAGGUUGAAGGUUGGGUAACACUAACUGGAGGACCGAACCGACUAAUGUUGAAAAAUUAGCGGAUGACCUGUGGCUGGGGGUGAAAGGCCAAUCAAACCGGGAGAUAGCUGGUUCUCCCCGAAAGCUAUUUAGGUAGCGCCUCGUGAAUUCAUCUCCGGGGGUAGAGCACUGUUUCGGCUAGGGGGCCAUCCCGGCUUACCAACCCGAUGCAAACUGCGAAUACCGGAGAAUGUUAUCACGGGAGACACACGGCGGGUGCUAACGUCCGUCGUGAAGAGGGAAACAACCCAGACCGCCAGCUAAGGUCCCAAAGUCAUGGUUAAGUGGGAAACGAUGUGGGAAGGCCCAGACAGCCAGGAUGUUGGCUUAGAAGCAGCCAUCAUUUAAAGAAAGCGUAAUAGCUCACUGGUCGAGUCGGCCUGCGCGGAAGAUGUAACGGGGCUAAACCAU